This 7689-nucleotide long non-coding RNA is filed under the name Sorghum bicolor (sorghum). RNAcentral's name for it is "long non-coding RNA (SBIC_LNC012092)". Lineage: Eukaryota; Viridiplantae; Streptophyta; Magnoliopsida; Poales; Poaceae. The record is from RNAcentral.
CCUAGCCCCCUUCUCAUCUCUUUCUGUUGUUAGUGCUCUGAUGUCCCGAUAUAGAUAACCUUGAAGUAAUUCUUGAUUCUUAGAUCAACUAGAGAACUCUCAGGAAACUUCCUCUCUUCCCACCAAAAAUAAUUAUAUAGUUAUCCUUGGGCGAUCUUGGAUCUUAAUUAGUACACUCACGUUCUCUGUGGAAAAUCGAUACUCUGGAAUACUCCCGGGUGAAAGCUACAUCGGUAUCCGUGCGUUUGCGGAUUUUUCUGUUUGCGUUUAAAAUACCCAACAAGCUUUCUGGCGCCGUUGCCGGGGAACGGUAGUUGUGCUAGUUUCGAACCAAGUCGUCCGUGUAUCCUGUUUCUUUUCCUUUUUUACCAUACUCACCUUACCAUUUUCACCAUACCACAUGGAUUUCACUCUAAGCAUUAAUGAGCAUGGAAUUUAUUUCAUAGCCACUUCAUUUACUCCAUGCUCAUAUGCAACAUCUUCACAAUCCAUUGGUCUCUCCAACAUCACCACAUUCGAGAUCUCCAACCCCCUCAUCCUUUUCAUUUACAAAAACUUUAAAAGGGCGGUUGUCGAUGCAUAUGUCUAUAUUAAAUAUUGCAGAUCUCGUUGAGUUGAUCUUGAUAUAGGUCAGCGUUGGAGGGGAAACCACUUCGCCGACAUAAAUUGAUGGUUUCCCAAGGACAAGCUUAGUGUCCUAAAAUAAGCACUGAUUAGAUCGUAACAUGAGCUUUGAAUUAUUUGCAAUAUUACCUUGUGUGUUGAGCAUAUAAGGAUAAUUGUAAAAAUAUUCCUUCGGGUAUUCUUGUCACUAACCUUUCUAGGAUUGGAGCAAGAAGAUCGGAUAAAUGACAAGCACAAGGUAUGUACAACCAAUCAUCGUACAACAUUGAAUUAAAUUCAUCCAAACUUGAAUUUUGCAAAAUUCAAGCUUGGGGGAGUACUUUAUAUAAAAACAUCAUUUGCCAUGUUGCUAUGUUGGUUGUCCCUACCUUUGAGACAUGCUCAAUUUGUUAAAUAGUAAUCACACUACUUCAUCUCCACUUGAGUAGAUCUCUAUAAAAGCCAUCACGCUACCUUUGUUUAUCCUAGUAAGUGUUAGUUUGGAAGUACUGUACAUACUUCUAUUGGUUUUUAAAUUAAGCAUGGUGCUUAGGUUAAACAGCCUUCCUUAAUCUAAUUAGACAUGGAGUCUAGUUUGGUUAUUGAACUAAAAACUGCUUGUGUAGACAUUGGUAUAUUUUUUUGGACUAACCCCUGUAGGAAAACUUUCAAUAUCGACCUGGGAAGUCCUGAGACAAACUCACAUUGGAGCCAAAGAGAGAGACACAUGAAGUUUAACAAUUUACACAAGGAAGGCAUAAGAGAUGAUCCAUGGAGGGUGCUACAAACACGAUGCACAACCGCUAAGAAAGGAAAGCUUCCACAAGGUCAUACUGUACCAUCACUCUUCAAGUAAGGUAACAUCUUAAAGUACUUGUCUAUCACUUUUAUAAGCUUCUCCUUGGUUCUGGCGUUCACAUGAAUAAAAGAGACAAACAUGUAUGAUUUACAACUCUAGAUUAACCAACCCAAUUAUUCAACAUGUUUAGUCCUUUAAUCUUUGUUCUUAGUACUACCUUCGUGAUCCCACACUCCUAAUCAUGUAAGAUAAAAUGUUGCACAUUCAUUCUUUGGAAGAUAUAAACAAAACAUAAAUAUAGAUAGAUUAUCUUUCCAUUAGGUUGAGCCAUCUGAUCUGACAAAUGUUUUAAAUGCUACACUCAUGAUCUUAUUAUCCAUCAACUUUGUCUUGCUCACUAUGCUUAAGGUUAGAGAAGAAUAAAUACACUUUUGGUUCUGUUGGUGUUUUCCACCAACAGAGCCCAUGCACUUGAUCUCUGCCUUUUCUCUAAGAGCAGGUACACUUUGAGCAAAAUAUGAAGGACUUUUACAACUCCCAGACUCCACCAAGUGAAGAACUUGUAUCUACGAGCACAAACACACUGGAGAUACUAGACACUCAGGCAAUCACUGCCCUGAGAUGCUUGAGGACAUAACUACUGGAGUAACCCUGUAGUGGAAGUAAUUACCGACCUUCUGCCGGUCAAGAGAGACAACCCAGGACGCCCCGUCAUCCCGAUCUCCAUCGGCAUGGUGGACUUCUUAGAAGCACUCUGCGACUUUGGCUCCAGCGUCAACAUUAUGCCCAAGCCUGCAGAUCAGACACUAAGUUUCCCAAAGGGAAUUUUGAAGAACCUCUGCGUUCGAGUUGGUACCUUGUACGGCCCAGCAAACUUCGUGGUGAUAGAGACUGGUACUGAUGAGAGGGCACCCAUCUUAGGGAGGCCAUUCCUGAACACCUCGGGAGCUGUCAUCUACGCUAGUGCUGCCAAGAUCAGUUUCUACAUCAAAGGGAGAAAUGAGACAUUUUCCUUCAAGAACAAGACUACACAAUCUCAGAGAAUUCCCGACAUGAACCAAGGAAGAGGACCAACAGGAGGAACAGGAACAAGCAAGUGUGGACCGAGUCAGCUAAGAUGGUCACUGCAGUUCAAGGAGGUCAAGAUCAUCUAUUUAAGUCACCGUUCUUGACCAAAAAGGAUGACUCAGUCACCUAUCAGCUUCUGUUAGGAACCAUGCCCUUAAAACCGACAUACACCCAGCUCCAAAUGGCAGAUCAAACAUUUCAGAAGGUUGAAGUUAUUGACAUAGGAGAAGACGAGUACGAUCCACCCAUCAUCCUUGGAAGACCGUUCCUCAACACCGUUAAAGCAAUCAUCUACAUUGGAACCGGCGGAGUCCACAUGCACUUCCCCUCUGAAAAGGUACGCCACUAUUUUACUAACCUUAACUACAUAGUUGAAGACUCUAAGCAGGUCAGGACAAGAAUACGACGACGCAACCGCAACCAGAGGAGGCAAAUCAUCAAGGACGGAUGGGUAGACUAUGAAGGAGAAGUUGUAAGGUCUGAAGACAUACAACUUGAACAGAACUGUCCUAGGAGACCGUAGCACCGAGUCAGGUGUGGAAAGAGAAAAUAGUUAUACACAAAGAGAAAGCACCGUCGGAACCACCGACUACGCCAUCCAGCGAAUCCCAGGAUGAUUCAGGAAACGGAGAGUCCCGUUCGGAGGACUUAAAAACACCGAACGUCUUGCCAAGAGGUAAACUUGGUAGUUAUCUUUCUCCUUUCAAUUAUUUAAAAUAGUUUGCUUAGUUAAUCAGGUUCACAUCAUCUUGAAAAGAAAAUAAAAAUGUUGAAGAUAGUAAGCCCCAUGUGAGUAUGCUCAUGGUAUAAAACCCAUAAGCACAUUCACUGUGGUGGCGUAAAAAUAAAAUAAAUAUAUUCCUGUCCUAUAAAAAUGAAAAUAUAAAAAUAAAUUUAUGAUCCUACUAAAGAGAGUAACAUUUAUUGAGGAGGCUCAACAUGAUAAAGGCUAAAUAUUUAUGCUAACACUUAACUAGUUCCACAAAGCUUUGUUGUCUAUUUGAGCUCCACAGAAUUCAAGGAUCAAAGAAGACUAGCAGACGGAGGACAUCCUAAUCGCUGUCAGGGUGCUGCCGACAUUCAAAUACACCUCCGCCACUUGCUAGCUAUAUCAUAAGAGAUUACGUCAAAAUCCAGCUUGGGGGAGAGCACCCCCAUUUAUCCAGCUAAGUAUUCUACUCACGUUUAUAUUUUACUCAAAUAAUAAAAAGAUGCAUAAUCAUAGAAACCCAAAUAAAGAUUUUGUGCUUAUAUAUAUCUUUGCUUAGUUUGCUAAAUAAAUAAAUAAAUAAAUAAAGUUUGCUAUGAACCCUCAUGAUAAGCUCUCACAUGGAAAUGAUGAAUAGUUGCUCUGCCAUGACUAGUUCUUAAAAUUGAAAUCUCUCUCAAGUUUAGGCAUGACUGUUAUUAAUUAAGAUUUGCUCUAAACCUAAACUUGUGGGGAGAGUACUUGAUCUAAAGUCUAAGUCGUUAACGGAUACGAUAUGGGAAGGUUGAGCUGCUGUUUAUCUGUUCCUAGAGAUGCUAGAAAUCUGGAGAAUUUUAUCUUUGAAAAUCUUUAAAUUGUUGCAUGAUGAGUUCCUGUAUGAUGAGAGUUUAAAUUCCUACCACAGCCAUAUAUACAUGCUUGCUAGACUUUGCGCCACACAUUUACUUUUUACUGCUUAUGAGCAUUGAGUGUGGUCAAGCUGUGUAGACCCUUAGGAGCUUGUCAUGUGGUUAAAAUCAAGAUUCACUUGCACGUUCACUCAUACAUGCUACUUCUACUCCGGAAGUACCAUCCACAUAUAUCCACUCACUUCCAUCUCCAAAUUCACCCAAAAUUAUUCUACUCCUAAUCCGGGAGAGAAUAGCCAAAAAUAUUUUCCUAUCCCUGUUAUUCCGUGUGAAAUACAUGCUCGAGUUAUCUUGGUUACUACCACUUGCCACAUUAUUCUAGGAGGAUGAGUGCUCUAAAAAAAAGAAAAAAAAUGAAGAAUACGAGGAAAUAAAAAGGGGCAAGUGCCCGAAACCUCGAAAGAAAAGAAAAAAAAGAAGUGAGACGAGAGGUAAAAAUGGACAAGUGUCCGACAGUAGAAUUAGGGGUACAAGAUACCCACCUGAGAGAAAAGAAAAAAAAUAUAGAGCAUCUCAUUCUCCUCAAAAAGUUUCAAAAGAGCAAGAAAGGUAUGUAUUCCCUCAAAAGAGCAAAAGUAGAAUUAGACUUUCACCAUUGUUAUCACCAUCAUCACCUUACACCAUUCAUUCGCCACACAUGCACAUCUUGAUUUGACUUAUUGACUUGUUCUUCUGGAUCCAUGGUUUGACUAUGCAAUAAAUGUCUUGUAAGUAUGUAUUAGCUGUCUCCCACCUAUGAGCUCCAGAUAUCAAAACCUUAUUAGAGUAGGGUGAGAGAGAAGGCAAUGUCACUAUGCCUCAUACUACAAAUACCACAUACUUUGAGAGAAGGCAUACACCAUUAAUGCCUUGGUAAGGAUCCAGAAAUACCAUAAAAUAGAGACUAGAGAGAGUCAUACAAGGAAUCUCUGAGUUUUAUUUGAAAAUCUGCAAAAACUCCAGAGCUAUAGCUGAUCAAGAAUAAGAGACAUGGUGCUUGACUAGACCGUUCUAUCUUUUAACUACUCAAGACCGAAGUGACGGUUACAAGUCCCAUGGUGAAAGGUAAAUGAGUAAGUUUUAAGUCUUAACAGUUUACUCUAACCAGAGAUGAGAUCUUGUUUAAACGCAUGUGUAUCUUUAAGUUAUGAAACCACUGCAGAAACUCUUGAGUUCAUCUUUGCUCAGGGACGAGCAAAGGUUAAGCUUGGGGGAGCUUGUUGACGGUCCUUAAUGCUCACAAUUAACCAUCAAUUAAUCAUGGAAAAGGAUCCAAAUGCAACCAAAACCUAGACUUAGGGUUUUAUCUGACAGAAUUCCACGAGUUUUGGUGUUUGUCUAUUUCUGCAGGGGGUUAUCGGGAAAUAAGGAAGAAAGGCCCACACGUCGGGUUUACAUAGAGAUAUUAACAUGCCGCGCAAUUUUCUAUCAUCUAGAAGACUCCAGAAGCCACGGGAACGAACGGGAAGGAAAUCGGGCUCGGAGGCAGGGCGCCCGCCCAACUCUCUUGGGCGCCCGCCCAGCUACAGUGCCCAAUCAGGACACGUUUCGCGGAUUAUGCUCCACCGACCUAAAGGAUCAAGGAAAACCGUGUGAUUAAUGUCGGUUUGAUCCGACGGCCCAGAUUCACUUGAAGAGACUAUAAAACCAGACCCCCUGGCCCCUGGAGAUCAUACCUCUUCUACAGAAUCAAAGUUAGGGUUUCAAUUCUUCAUCCAAGUAGAGAGGAUCCCUCUAGUUCUUCUAGUUCUACCCCUAGUUCAUCUAGAUCUAGUUCUAGUUCAUCUAGUUCUAGUUCUAGUUCCUCUAGUUCUAGUUCUAGUUAGUUCUAGUUGUAAUCUAGAAAAUAGGGAGAGAGAAGAGGAGAGCGGAGGAGGAGCCGGAUCUGUCGGAUCUUCCUCAACAUUAUACUUUUGCAGCAUCUGGUUCGUUCUUCAUCGUUCUCCAGGUUCUUCAAUUCAUAAUUCCUGAGUUCUUUAAUUACUUUUAUUUACAUUCAAGUUAUUUAUUGGAUUCCCGCUUGCAUCAAGUGCUCUAGUCUUUAUAACGCUAGAGUAGUAAUUAAUAGAUUAGACGUGGUGUUUAGUCUUGCAAUUACCUGGAAUUGCACCCAAUCCUGCGGAUUGUUGUGGUAGCCUUAGGGUAGUGACAGCCCUAACGGUCGACGUAUUCCACCACGUUCGGAUCGGUGUUUGUAGGACCGUAGUCAGACCUUCCUAGCCCCCUUCUCAUCUCUUUCUGUUGUUAGUGCUCUGAUGUCCCGAUAUAGAUAACCUUGAAGUAAUUCUUGAUUCUUAGAUCAACUAGAGAACUCUCAGGAAACUUCCUCUCUUCCCACCAAAAAUAAUUAUAUAGUUAUCCUUGGGCGAUCUUGGAUCUUAAUUAGUACACUCACGUUCUCUGUGGAAAAUCGAUACUCUGGAAUACUCCCGGGUGAAAGCUACAUCGGUAUCCGUGCGCUUGCGGAUUUUUCUGUUUGCGUUUAAAAUACCCAACAAUUAGGCAUCUUUUUAUUAUUUGAGUGAAGUAUAAACGUGAGUAGAACACUUAGCUGGAUAAAUAGGGGUGCUCUCCCCCAAGCUGGAUCUUAACGUAAUUUCUUCUGAUGUAGCUAGCAAGUGGUGGAGGUGUAUUUGAAUGUUGGCAGCACCCUUAUAGCGAUUAGGAUAUCCUCCGUCGGCUAGUCUUCCUUGAUCCUUGAAUUCUGUGGAGCUCAAAUAGACAACAAAGCUUUGUGGAACUAGUUAAGUGUUAGCAUAAAAUCUCUUAGCCUUUAUCAUGUUGAGCUUCCUGUAAUAAAUAUUACUCUCUUUAGUAGGAUAAUAAAUUUAUUUUUAUAUUUUUCUUUUUACAGGACAAGAAUAUGUUUAUUUUAUUUUUACGCCACCACAGUGAAUGGGUUUUAUGCCAUGAGCAUACUCACAUGGGGCUUACUGUUUUUAACAUUUUUAUUUUCUUUUCAAGAUAGCAUGAUUAACUAACAAGCUAUUUAAGGAAAGUAAAUAAUUUAAGGGAAAAGGGAAUGCUGAAAGGAUAAAUAUGGAUAACUACCGAUUUUACCUUUCAGCGAGGGUUCAAUGUUUUAAGUCUUCUGAACAAGACUUCUCACUGUGUUCAUUCUUUAUGUGCGUCAUUUGAGUUAGGUGUGGACCUUGACAUCUGCACCUCUUGAUACGGUGUCACCCAUGUUUUUCGUUUGCCCAGCAGUUCGAAGUGCGGCGUUGGCAGCAUCCUCCUCAGUGUGUUUGUGCUCGUAGAUCCAAAUCCUUCACUUGGUAGAGUCUGGGAGUUAGAAAACUCCUCCAUGUUUUGCUCGAAGUGUAUCCUGCUCAUAUAGACAAGGCAGAGAUCAAGUGCAUGGGCCCUGUUGGUGGAAAACACCAACAGAACCAAAAGUGUAUUUAUUCUUCUCUAACCUUAAGCAUAGUGAGCAAGACAAAGUUGACGGAUGAUAAGAUCAUGAGUGUAGAAUUUAAAACAUUUGAGAGAUCAGAUCACUCAACCUUAUGGAAAGAUAAUCUAUCGAAGUAAAUGUUUUUUUUCUUUACAUGACUAUCAUUUUCCAAAGAUUGGAUGUACAACAUUUUAGCUCAUAUGGUUAAGAGUGUGGGAUCAAGAAGGUA